GCGGCAGGCCUAACACAUGCAAGUCGAGCGGCCGUAGCAAUACGGCAGCGGCAGACGGGAGAGUAACACGUGGGAACGUGCCCUUCGGUUCGGAAUAACGCAGGGAAACUUGCGCUAAUACCGGAUACGCCCUUACGGGGAAAGAUUUAUCGCCGAUGGAGCGGCCCGCGUCUGAUUAGCUAGUUGGUGAGGUAUUGGCUCACCAAGGCGACGAUCAGUAGCUGGUCUGAGAGGAUGAUCAGCCUCACUGGGACUGAGACACGGCCCAGACUCCUACGGGAGGCAGCAGUGGGGAAUAUUGGACAAUGGGCGCAAGCCUGAUCCAGCCAUGCCGCGUGGAUGAUGAAGGCCUUAGGGUUGUAAAGUCCUUUUAACGGGGAAGAUAAUGACGGUACCCGUAGAAUAAGCCCCGGCUAACUUCGUGCCAGCAGCCGCGGUAAUACGAAGGGGGCUAGCGUUGCUCGGAAUUACUGGGCGUAAAGCGCACGUAGGCGGCUCUUUAAGUCGGGGGUGAAAUCCUGGAGCUCAACUCCAGAACUGCCUUCGAUACUGAAGGGCUCGAGUCCGGGAGAGGUGAGUGGAACUGCGAGUGUAGAGGUGA
Molecule: ribosomal RNA, 601 nt
Filed under: uncultured yard-trimming-compost bacterium
Lineage: Bacteria
Description: bacterial SSU rRNA
Rfam family: Bacterial small subunit ribosomal RNA
Source: RNAcentral